Long non-coding RNA from Xenopus laevis (African clawed frog), 1044 nucleotides. RefSeq lists it as uncharacterized. The record is from RefSeq and is a predicted model, not a curated record. The transcript has 6 exons. NCBI's taxonomy places the organism in Eukaryota, Metazoa, Chordata, Amphibia, Anura, Pipidae.
UGUACUGAGGGCUGAGGAAUGAGACACGAGGGGGGGAGAUCGCAAUAGCAUAUAUGGGCAGCACGGGGGUGUGACUGCAGCCUCUUGGGAUCAGUGAAUAUAAUAAGAGGUGACCAUUAUAACCAUAGACCGGAUACCCAAACCAGACCCCUAUGGACAACCCAACAGACAAAGCACUCCUGGCUUCUAUUCCCAGAAGAGUAGACGAUUACAUCCCACAGUUCUCAAAAAAGCAUGCAAGGAUGAAGAAGCAGAAGCAUUAAGUUCCAGUCUGCAGAAAGAACUCUUGGUGAGGCCCCUCUGCCUGCCCAGCCAAGCACAACAACAUCUUCCUCAUGAUGAGCGAUCUAAAUCUGAAACCUAUCUACAAAAUGAAACAAAAGAGACUAGAGCUGAUUGGCAAAGCCAGUCUGAAGAGGUUCACCCAUCCUGGCAUGGUCGUUUAAAAAAAGCACGGAUGAAGCCUCUGCUGCCAAUGCAUUCUCAUAGUCAACCAAGGGAUUGGCACGCUUGCCAAGGAAUGUUACCAGAGCGAAUCCAGGCUAAUCCAGCUUUAGAUGGCCUGACCAUGCUACAGCAGCACUUUUUUGGAGACCCAUCCAUUCACAUUCUAGUCCCGCGGACUGCAGAGACUCCACAUUACACCUCCCUUGCUUCUCUUUCUGGGCCUCACAUGGAAGAAAAUGAAGAUGAAAUACAACAAUGACGCUGAUAAGGAUGCUAAAUAGGAUGCCCAAACUGUCUUACUGAAUUACUGCUACAAAAAAAUUUAGCCAAAGUCACAGCUGCAACAUUACUAUUGCAGUACUUAUAAUACUUCUAUACAUGUUUAUAAAGCAUGAUUUGCAAUGGAUUCCUGUGCAAAACAAAAAAAACAAUGUGUAAUUCCAUCUGUAUAAAUGUUACAGAGCAAGAAGAAAGCUGGCGCGAGCAUUUCAUAGCUGUUUAGAAAAACUCCGUUAGCACACUUACGCUUAAGUCAGUUUGAAUAGGAUGGGUACAUAUUGGUCAUAUAUAUGUCUUUAUUAGAGAUGUUGUUGCACA